This is a long non-coding RNA of Zingiber officinale, 797 nucleotides long. RefSeq lists it as uncharacterized. The record is from RefSeq and is a predicted model, not a curated record. Lineage: Eukaryota; Viridiplantae; Streptophyta; Magnoliopsida; Zingiberales; Zingiberaceae. The transcript has 5 exons.
CCUAGUAACAUAAUUACCUUCAAUCCUUUUUUUUUUUUUCUAUCUACUGUGUUGUUUCUUUCUUCUCCUCAAUCCCUAACCCGUACUUGCCACCACCGUUCCUCUCACCCCACGCUCACGCAUCCCUAUCGCCGGCGUUGCCAGGCAUCGUUCCUCUCACCAACGAUCACGCAUCCAUGUCACCGUCCCUUGCAGGUUGCAGCCUGCUAUUUCGCCAUUGUAGAGAAGGUCUCGAUAGAGCUCUUCCCUCUCCGUAGCAAGCAAGAGGAGCACAACAAGCUCGUCUUCCCUCUCCACAGUAAGCAAGGAGGAGCUCAAGGUAAUCGUAAAUUUUUUAUUUCACAUUAAAAUUGAAUCCCAGAGAGCGUCGACUGCGCGAACCGGCUACCUGCCGACUGCUUGGUGGAGGGUGAUGAUUUGUUUGAUGAGGACUUGAACGGAUUUAUUUCUGAGCUUACGAAUGCGAUUCCCAAAGUCAAUAAGGCCAUGAGCUUUGUUGAAAUUAUCAAAUUAGUCAGUUAUACUGUUGGAUACUGCUCCAACUGGUCAUAAUUUAAGACUAUUGCAAUUCCCAUCAUCUUUAGAGAAGGGGCUUGAGAAAGUUGUCUAAAAAAAAUAGAUUUGGCAGUAUGUUGACUCAAGUACUUGCAUUAUCCUUAGGCAAUUCAUGCAACAAUGCUAUUCAAAAAAAUUUCCUUAAAGUUGGAUGCGCUGUCUCACUUCCAUUUUGCUCCAAAGCCGGUUAUUGAGGACAUGUCUAUACAAGUCAAUGUACCUGCUCUAACAAUGGAAGAGGU